Molecule: non-coding RNA, 66 nt
Organism: Styela clava
Lineage: Eukaryota; Metazoa; Chordata; Ascidiacea; Stolidobranchia; Styelidae
Source: the annotation of a RefSeq genome assembly
UAAUUAGUAAUUUAAUAAAAAUUUAUACAUUUUGAUUGUAUGCAUAGCUUGGAAGGCUCUAAUUAA